CAGUCGCCGCGGUAAUACGAAGGGGGCUAGCGUUGCUCGGAAUCACUGGGCGUAAAGGGUGCGUAGGCAGGUCUUUAAGUCAGGGGUGAAAUCCUGGAGCUCAACUCCAGAACUGCCUUUGAUACUGAAGAUCUUGAGUUCGGGAGAGGUGAGUGGAACUGCGAGUGUAGAGGUGAAAUUCGUAGAUAUUCGCAAGAACACCAGUGGCGAAGGCGGCUCACUGGCCCGAUACUGACGCUGAGGCACGAAAGCGUGGGGAGCAAACAGGAUUAGAGACCCGUGUAGUCCCUGUCUCUUAUAU
This 301-nucleotide ribosomal RNA is filed under the name uncultured bacterium. RNAcentral describes it as "partial 16S ribosomal RNA". It matches the Rfam family "Bacterial small subunit ribosomal RNA", at positions 509 to 809 of the family's 1533-position model. The record is from RNAcentral.